This 388-nucleotide ribosomal RNA is filed under the name uncultured bacterium. Its description in RNAcentral is "bacterial SSU rRNA". It matches the Rfam family "Bacterial small subunit ribosomal RNA", at positions 28 to 417 of the family's 1533-position model. The record is from RNAcentral.
GACGAACGCUGGCGGCGUGCUUAACACAUGCAAGUCGAGCGGUAAGGCCCUUUCGGGGGUACACGAGCGGCGAACGGGUGAGUAACACGUGGGUGACCUGCCCUCAGCUCUGGGAUAAGCCCGGGAAACUGGGUCUAAUACCGGAUAUGACUCCAUGACGCAUGUUGUGGGGUGGAAAGCCUUGUGCGGCUGAGGAUGGGCCCGCGGCCUAUCAGCUUGUUGGUGGGGUNAUGGCCUACAAGGCGACGACGGGUAGCCGGCCUGAGAGGGCGACCGGCCACACUGGGACUGAGACACGGCCCAGACUCCUACGGGAGGCAGCAGGUGGGGAAUCUUGCGCAGUGGGCGAAAGCCUGACGCAGCGACGCCGCGUGAGGGAUGACGGCCU